Molecule: ribosomal RNA, 1489 nt
Filed under: Lactiplantibacillus argentoratensis
Lineage: Bacteria; Bacillati; Bacillota; Bacilli; Lactobacillales; Lactobacillaceae
Description: bacterial SSU rRNA
Rfam family: Bacterial small subunit ribosomal RNA
Source: RNAcentral
GACGAACGCUGGCGGCGUGCCUAAUACAUGCAAGUCGAACGAACUCUGGUAUUGAUUGGUGCUUGCAUCAUGAUUUACAUUUGAGUGAGUGGCGAACUGGUGAGUAACACGUGGGAAACCUGCCCAGAAGCGGGGGAUAACACCUGGAAACAGAUGCUAAUACCGCAUAACAACUUGGACCGCAUGGUCCGAGCUUGAAAGAUGGCUUCGGCUAUCACUUUUGGAUGGUCCCGCGGCGUAUUAGCUAGAUGGUGGGGUAACGGCUCACCAUGGCAAUGAUACGUAGCCGACCUGAGAGGGUAAUCGGCCACAUUGGGACUGAGACACGGCCCAAACUCCUACGGGAGGCAGCAGUAGGGAAUCUUCCACAAUGGACGAAAGUCUGAUGGAGCAACGCCGCGUGAGUGAAGAAGGGUUUCGGCUCGUAAAACUCUGUUGUUAAAGAAGAACAUAUCUGAGAGUAACUGUUCAGGUAUUGACGGUAUUUAACCAGAAAGCCACGGCUAACUACGUGCCAGCAGCCGCGGUAAUACGUAGGUGGCAAGCGUUGUCCGGAUUUAUUGGGCGUAAAGCGAGCGCAGGCGGUUUUUUAAGUCUGAUGUGAAAGCCUUCGGCUCAACCGAAGAAGUGCAUCGGAAACUGGGAAACUUGAGUGCAGAAGAGGACAGUGGAACUCCAUGUGUAGCGGUGAAAUGCGUAGAUAUAUGGAAGAACACCAGUGGCGAAGGCGGCUGUCUGGUCUGUAACUGACGCUGAGGCUCGAAAGUAUGGGUAGCAAACAGGAUUAGAUACCCUGGUAGUCCAUACCGUAAACGAUGAAUGCUAAGUGUUGGAGGGUUUCCGCCCUUCAGUGCUGCAGCUAACGCAUUAAGCAUUCCGCCUGGGGAGUACGGCCGCAAGGCUGAAACUCAAAGGAAUUGACGGGGGCCCGCACAAGCGGUGGAGCAUGUGGUUUAAUUCGAAGCUACGCGAAGAACCUUACCAGGUCUUGACAUACUAUGCAAAUCUAAGAGAUUAGACGUUCCCUUCGGGGACAUGGAUACAGGUGGUGCAUGGUUGUCGUCAGCUCGUGUCGUGAGAUGUUGGGUUAAGUCCCGCAACGAGCGCAACCCUUAUUAUCAGUUGCCAGCAUUAAGUUGGGCACUCUGGUGAGACUGCCGGUGACAAACCGGAGGAAGGUGGGGAUGACGUCAAAUCAUCAUGCCCCUUAUGACCUGGGCUACACACGUGCUACAAUGGAUGGUACAACGAGUUGCGAACUCGCGAGAGUAAGCUAAUCUCUUAAAGCCAUUCUCAGUUCGAAUUGUAGGCUGCAACUCGCCUACAUGAAGUCGGAAUCGCUAGUAAUCGCGGAUCAGCAUGCCGCGGUGAAUACGUUCCCGGGCCUUGUACACACCGCCCGUCACACCAUGAGAGUUUGUAACACCCAAAGUCGGUGGGGUAACCUUUUAGGAACCAGCCGCCUAAGGUGGGACAGAUGAUUAGGGUG